RNAcentral lists this ribosomal RNA (252 nucleotides) under uncultured bacterium. Its description in RNAcentral is "partial 16S ribosomal RNA". It matches the Rfam family "Bacterial small subunit ribosomal RNA", at positions 524 to 776 of the family's 1533-position model. The record is from RNAcentral.
UACGUAGGGAGCGAGCGUUGUCCGGAAUUACUGGGUGUAAAGGGAGCGUAGGCGGGACUGCAAGUUGGGUGUCAAAUCUACCGGCUCAACCGGUAGCCGCACUCAAAACUGCAGUUCUUGAGUGAAGUAGAGGCAGGCGGAAUUCCUAGUGUAGCGGUGAAAUGCGUAGAUAUUAGGAGGAACACCAGUGGCGAAGGCGGCCUGCUGGGCUUCUACUGACGCUGGGGCUCGAAAGUGUGGGGAGCAAACAGG